Molecule: long non-coding RNA, 424 nt
Filed under: Triticum aestivum (bread wheat)
Lineage: Eukaryota; Viridiplantae; Streptophyta; Magnoliopsida; Poales; Poaceae
Description: long non-coding RNA (TAES_LNC028676)
Source: RNAcentral
UGUCUUGGAUCUGUCACCCAUAGCUCCUCCUAUAGCUAUUUCUGCACAUCCAUUGCAAGUCUUGGUUCUGUCCACCAUAGCUCUUCCUUCAGCUAGUUCACCACAUCAACUGCACAAGGCCAACAAGAGAGCUUCCAUCAAGACAGAACACAAGCAUAUCAUGUUAAUUAUCUUGGAUUAUAAUACUGCCACAAGAAAUCAAAAAAAGAAGAAGGUGAGAUUAGCCUUUGUUGGUGCAAAAGUGAAUCACCUUGGGCGUAGUUUGUGGGAGACACGGCCAUCAGCCGCAGAAGGGAUGGAUGAUGCCACAAUAGAUGCCCCGGUAUUGAGGAAUAAUUCUAUCUAUUACAGAUGUAACGACAGUACCAAGACUCGUACUACUAUUGCAGAAUAACAGAGAGUUGUAGGCUAGAUAAAAUGCCGC